Pipra filicauda (Wire-tailed manakin) is the source of this 4855-nucleotide long non-coding RNA. RefSeq lists it as uncharacterized. NCBI's taxonomy places the organism in Eukaryota, Metazoa, Chordata, Aves, Passeriformes, Pipridae. The record is from RefSeq and is a predicted model, not a curated record. The transcript is spliced from 3 exons.
GAGCUUAGAAACGCUCAAGAUUGAGAAAGGCAGUGAGAUCACCUAACAUACCCUUUUGCCCAAAUAGCUGAGCACAUCACCAUAGGUAGUCACUAGUUCCUGACUUCAACCCCGCUGUUCUUCCUACCAGCUUCCAGGAGUGCUCUGUCAGUCCUGCUCCCAGUCCUUCCUCUUCUCUCUCCUCACUGUUCCUUUCCAAGGUAGGGCUGCCUUUGUAAGAGAGAAGCUGGCAGGUGGCUGGGAAACAAGGACGGAUUUUUCCCUAGCCCUUUCUUAUGCAGAAGGUGUGGGUGUAUUAUGUACGCUGUUAAGCUCCUGAUCACUUUUGAUCAUAUUAUGAGAGAGUCUCUGAGGGAGAGCUGAGAAGGAAGAGGUUUAUUCAUGUUUUCUGAUCUGGCACUGUGCUUUGCACUCUUUCAGGCUUCCAUUCUGUCCAUACAGGGGCGCUGUUGUCCGGGCAGGAAUAUUGCAGGAUGGCUGGGAACUAAAGUGCACAGCCUUCCUGACAUGGGCUCUGUCACCAGUUUGCUUCAUGCUACACUACUGGCUAGGGCUCAGAAGUGAUUUGGAAUUACAGCAUUAGUUUUCCCUGAGCACCAUGGUCUAUCGUACGAAGGCACGCUACUGUGGAAUUAGGCUGGGCUGUUGUAAAGAAUAUUGACUUUCAGUUAAAUAUCUGAAGAUGAUCACCUUGUCCACCCAUUCUGUCAUUUCAGCCCUUUAUCCCAUUCACCGGACUCUGGGGGCACCCACCCCACUUUCCACAUGCCCCUUGCAUUCUGCUGCCCUGCUCUCUGGUGCUCAUGCAACUCUUGUCUCCAGCUGUGCUCUGCCCUCCGUGCCCACUUUAGUUCAUUUCUUGUGUGUGUUUGCUACCCCUGGCUUGUUUCACAACCAGGGCCACAGAUAGCCAUCUCUUUGGCAGCUCAGGGACUGCCUUUCCUCCCUCUCCAGAUGUUUGCUGUAGUGGCUCCUGAUAGUGUGGUUUUGGGUAAACGAGACAGGUGCUGUUUUGUGCACAGUUUGAUUCUCUGGUGCAACGCCUCUGAAGCCAGUUUUGCUGAGACUACAGGGAAAAUAAAUGGGGUUAUCUACUAAGUCUUUCAUAUCCUGCCAAAACUCUAUCCCUGUUACUUUUUCAAAUGGCCAUUUUCCUUUUACCUAAUCUACUAACAGGAAGACUGGUCAGCAGAGAGAUACCAGAAGCAAUAGUUGAUAGAUUUAAUACCCUUUCGUAGUUCACAACAAUAAUACACAUUUUGUAAGCUUUACAGCGAACAAUGUUUUUUGAUAUUUUUCAUAAUUAAACAGCAUACAAGUUAGUAAACUGAACAAGCCUUCAACAAAAGUUCCUUCUACAAAAGAUAUGUUUGAAAUACUUGAAAAAGCAUCAGAAAUUCCAUUUUGGUUUAAGCAUGCCUUUCAACUAUCUAGACAAAAUACUACCAUAUGAUUCCCUUAUCUUUUUCUCAAUAGAAGGUAAUAUCUCACUUUUAGCUUAGAAGUUCUGUGUUCUACUGAUAAUCAUUUAGACCUGCGUUAGCAUUGAAGACCUAAGUUAGAUGAGCUAUUAUUGUAUAGCUAUUAUUAUAUAUUAUAUGUUACAUUAUAUAGCUAUCUAAGCGUGCUCUCUGUUACCAAAUGAACAAAUGAACAGUCAUUGUCUGCAGUUUCUACAUUAUGAUCAGAAAGCGAUACCAUCCAUGUUUCAUUUGGUCAUAAAGUCUACCUUAAGACAAAAACCAACCAACCAACCAACAACAAAAGUUUAGGGAGUCUCUUGAAAUGUCCUUGGGUUUGGAGUUUUUUGGGUGUGAAGGAUUUUUGUGAACUUUAGCUUGAGAUAGACAGUCGUAGCUCAAAUAAUGCAUUCUGAUAUUCUUCAUUAUUGUGAUCCAAAGCAAUGGCUUUUUCAUAGCACUCAAUUGCUUUUUGUUUCUCACCAUUUAGCUUAUGAACAAGUCCAAGUGUUCCAAAAUCUGUUGCAUUUCUUGAACCUCUCUCAAUUUUUUGUCUUAACAAUCUCUGCACAGCUUCACUGCACUUAUUUCUUCCAAAGGACUCUUCUUUCAUUUUCAGCCCUUCUAUAUAAUACUCAAUGGCUUUUGAUACUGACCUCAUGUGAAAACGCUGAAAAUUGCCAUAAUUGUAGUAGAGCUCUUGUUUUUCAUGACAGAGUAGAUUAUUUCUCUGAAAAAGUUCCUGAAAUAUCUUUUCUGCUUCUUUGUAUCUCUUGCCUAGUGCAUACACAUUUGCUAGGCCAGUUUGGGUAGCAAUAAAUUUUUUCUUUUGGUCUGCCGCAAAUUUAAAAUGAGAAAUGGCAAGUUCGAUGAGUCUCUCCAUUUGAUCUUGAGGUGCAUUUCUUGUUCUUUGCAAUUGAAAUACUUUUUCUCUGUAGCAGAUUCCUAGUUGGUGAUGCAAAAAGCCAGAAUUUGGUGUCAGUGCUAGGGCCUUUUCCAAAAUCUUCGCUGCCUUGCCCACUUCUCCUUUCCUUCUGUAAAAUUUAGCAGCAUAUCGCAGGAAAUAAGGAAGAUCAGGGGUUUUUUGCAUAGCUUCUUCAAUGUACCUCUCACCUUCAUCAGCUCGAUUUAAGUCCUGAAGUUUUAAUGCAAGUAAUGCCAUGACACAAGUAUCCUCUGGAUUCAGUUCCACUGCCCGCUUCAAGGCCUCAGUGGAUGGGCUUGUGUCUUCACCACAUCUGGAAGCUAAAUUUUCCCAGCGAUACAGUGCUGUUGCAUAGCCAGCAUUAAAAUCUGGGUUAUCAGGUUCAUCCUUUAGAGCAUUUUCAAAGCAAUUCUUUGCUCUCUCAUAGUGUUUCCCCCCAAAACGUAAUAAUGCCCAUCCUUGCUCAGCAUAGACCUCUGGAAGCUGCAUCUUCCCAUCAGCAGUAAUGGAAAGCUUUUUGCAGCUGUCUUCCACUUUGCUUACAUAAGUUUGAGCUUCUUCAUAUCUCUCCAUGUGGUAAUAGAUCCAGGCAUAGUUCCCCCAGGUAACAAGACUUCUCCUGGCAAUUUCAUCUGGAUGACAUUUUUGAACAAUUUCUUCAGCUUUCUGGAGAUUUCUCAGGGCUUUCUCAUUUGAAUUCUUUAGGUGACAUAUAUAGGAUAGCAGAUUAUAAUCUGUUAGGUUAGAUUCUGUGAAAUAUUUGAUCUGAUUGACUAUUGUUUCUUCUAGGUCAUCAAUAUCUACAUCCUGCUUCAGCAAAGUCCAUGUAAAAUGACAUUGUAACUGCAGCAGGGAAGUCUUCAAGGAAUUCUUGGAAAUGAAACUGAACCUUGUUGGAGAAGCAAUAACAUGACAAUAUUCAAAAGCAUCCUUAUUUUAUUUUGAUUCUUCUAAAUCCAACCAUCACGUGGUCUGUGACCACUUUCACGGGAAACAGAAAGUGAAACUUCAGCUUUUCUCUGAGUCUGCCGAAGACGCAGAGCAGUCUGCAGUUGGAGAAUCGAAACUGCUGCACAAUAAGCUGCUCUUUUUCAGCCUGGCUCUGUGCCAUAUAUUACUCUGUGUUGUGGAGAAUGUGGCAAAAGCUCCUAGUGCUUCCAGCAUUUACUCUGUUCAAAGGCAGGGGUUAUCUAUGAUAGGGGGAAUAUUUCAGUCUAGUGUGGGCUGACCUGGUUAUCAUGUACAGGCUCGGGAAGGGUCAUUUCCUCCUCUUACCUCUGCACCUUUGCACACCUACAUCAUGCUUUAGGCUCCUAUUUUAUUUGUGUUUGGUCAUGCACGUGAGCACAGCCCCUGCUUUUUCUCCUUCAUCCUGUGCCUCCACAUCACAAGGUCUCUGCUGUUGUACCAGGCCUGUGUUUCUCUGGACUGUGUCAUUGUUUGAGAGUACUAAAUAUCUCAUCCCACCUGCAGGAACUGUUUGUUGCUUCUCCCUACAUAAACCCAAAAUUAACCUUUCGUAUACCAAGUUAGAUAUAGGCAGUCAGUUCAAGAAACUGCUGUCACAGUUGUGCCAAACAAAACAAAGUCACAGGUGGGUCAGGACAAGGUCAAACUGAGCAGACCUGGCAAGCCUCAGUCCCGAGGCCAUGCAAACUCAGUGCAAAGCUUAUGGCCUGUUGGGAGCAACAGCAAUGCUGUGUUACAGAGCUACACACACGGUAACAAAGAGAAGGGCACAGCUUGGGGACUGUAUGGAUACGAACAACUCAUUGAUGCUUAGUUUAAAAAAUUAAAAAAUGCAGACUGGUUUUGUAAAAUUUGUUCUGUAAAUAAGUACUUUAACAGCAUUAUUAUUGCCUCUUUUUUAAUAAUUAGAUCCAGACUAAUGAUAAUUCUUGCAUAUAGGCUAUUACUAUGUAAUAUGCUAUUUAUUGAUUGUAGACUGUUUUUCAUUGUAGUAACAAAAAAACCUUUAUCUAUAUAAUAUUUGUUUCAUCUUUACCCAUAAAUAUCACAGAACCUCUCUCCAUUCUUGAAUCCAUUCCAUUUUUAAACUUGAGAGCAUCUUGUUAAAAAACAUGUUUAAUUUUUAAUUUGAGGUGUCCCCCCUGCCCUGUCUUGUAGGAAUAAGCAAAUAAAAAUGCAUAUAAGGCUGCCUCAAUUGGCUUCUUUUGUGAAGUUUUUAGUGGAGGAUGCACAGGUUGUCCCUCUGUCCUAAGCCAGAAAUCACUUAUAUCAAACCUCAUUAUCACCUCAGAAUUGCUGCUGCUGCCAUCAUGUUCAAUCUCUGCAACUACAGACAAGAAUAAAUGGUAUUCCAUGUUUUUAUUUAUAAAUUUAUAUAACCUCUGACUGCCAAUUUGUAAUUGAGAAUUGUAGGUUCUGGCUUAUAAAACUUUAUCUUCUGUGGUAUGAACAGUCUAUAUCCCCACCUUCCCACAUAUGUAAGGCAGAGGGAACCUGUGGA